Molecule: unclassified non-coding RNA, 336 nt
Filed under: Basidiomycota sp.
Lineage: Eukaryota; Fungi; Basidiomycota
Description: partial contains small subunit ribosomal RNA, internal transcribed spacer 1, and 5.8S ribosomal RNA
Rfam family: Eukaryotic small subunit ribosomal RNA (bases 1-47)
Source: RNAcentral
AAAGUCGUAACAAGGUUUCCGUAGGUGAACCUGCGGAAGGAUCAUUACAGAAUAAACUUGGUGGGUUGUUGCUGGCUCUCAACUGGGCAUGUGCACACCUGUCAUCUUUAUCUUUCCACCAUGUGCACUUUCUGUAGAACUGGAAUGAACAAUAAGCCUAGUCAACAUUUGCUGACUACGGGAAUGUUGCUGAUUCAGCUCAUUCUGUAUCUGGCUGUUUAUUCCGGGCUCUACGAUAUCUCUAUAUACACCAUGUAUGUUAAUGAACGCAAUCAAUGGGCCCAUAAAGCCUAUAAACCUAUAAUACAACUUUCAGCAACGGAUCUCUUGGCUCUC